CCAUAUGUCAGUCUACCAGGAGAACAGAGGUCAGAAGAUGAGGAGAGCAUGUCAUCCCUGCAAGAAUGUACCUCCACAUCACAUGUCCAAAGCCAGGCAGCGUCUUCAACAGAUGUCAGUAUGCCAGAACAACAGUGGUCAGAAGAUGAGGUCAGCAUGUCAUCCCUGCAAGGAUGUACCUCCACAUCACAAGUCCAAAAAAAGAGUGUGUCCGCAAGAAAGAGAGGUAAGCAAGCUGCUGUACAGCGUUGGACAACAGAGGAGAUUGCUGCAGUAGAAAAACAUCUGAAGAAGUUCAUUGUGAGGCAAGAUGAUCCAGGUAAAGCGACUUGUGAGCGCUGCAUUUCUGCAGAACCGCAAGCGCUGCAAAAAAGAGACUGGAAAGCAGUCAAGUAUUUCAUCAAAAAUAGAAUAACUGCCAUGAGAAGAAAAUUGUAAUGAAAGCAGUUCACUGAUCAGGAGUAUGGAGACAUGUUUUCAGUUUGCCCUCUAACACUUUUUUGUUCAAGGUUUGUUUUGUUGUAUUGUUUCCACCUGUCUCUAUAACGCAUUAUAAAUAUAUUUAUAAUGACCUUAUAGCACUGUACACAUAUAGUUAUAAACACUCAUCAAUUAUUAUAAUGCUUU
Notolabrus celidotus (New Zealand spotty) is the source of this 627-nucleotide long non-coding RNA. RefSeq lists it as uncharacterized. The record is from RefSeq and is a predicted model, not a curated record. Lineage: Eukaryota; Metazoa; Chordata; Actinopteri; Labriformes; Labridae. The transcript has 3 exons.